Long non-coding RNA from Mauremys mutica (yellowpond turtle), 1243 nucleotides. RefSeq lists it as uncharacterized. Lineage: Eukaryota; Metazoa; Chordata; Testudines; Geoemydidae. The transcript is spliced from 3 exons. The record is from RefSeq and is a predicted model, not a curated record.
UACAAUACUCAACAACUCAUUAAUCUGAAUCCUGAGAUCGUCCACAGAAUUUUCCCCCACAUCUGUUUGGUCUUUAACUGUGGUUUCUCCAGGAGCAGAACUGAGUACAAUAGAAUUUGGUCUUGGAGAUGAAGACAGAGGUGUUGAAGUGAACACAGGUGACUGAAAGAAAUCAAUAAAAAGGACCCUGCCGAUGAGUGGAAUUGGAGGAAAUGUGUACAUCAGGUUCCCUGGCCAACACAGGAGGAAGGCAUCAGAGAGGGAGCCCUUGCUCAGACCUUGCCAAGAGCAAAACCGGUGGCAUUUCCUGUUCUGUCUGGUAGCAAACAGGUUCCCCACCUUUAGAAGAUCAAGCAGGCUACCUCUGGAUGGAGCGACCACUCAUGGUGAGAAGAAAAGUCCCUGCUGAGCUGGUCCACCAGCAUAUUCUUGACACCGGGAAGGUGACAAGCUUCCAGGUGGAUUUCGUGGCUGAUGCAGAAGUCCCACAGAUGGAGUGCCUCUUGACAGAGCGCCGACAAGCACGCUCCCCCUUGCCUGUUGAUGUAGACAGUGUGCAUCCCAGCCGAGGCAUCUGACACCAACUCAAUGGAGUGAGGGGGGGUUGUCAAAUGUAACUUCCUCCAGGACUGUCCUGCGGUCGGUCCACCAUCACAGCGAGGUAAGUAUCACCUGGGGAACGGUAACGAUCUUUUCCGGCGGUUUCUGGACUAGGACUGGACCAUCCCCAGUCGUUGCAGGGGCCACAUUCAGAGCCCGGCACAGCAGACCAUGUAAGUGCACGCUGCCAUGCGACCCAAGAGGCGCAGACAGACCCUGGCUGUAGUCAGAGGGAACAUGGAGACUUCCACGAUGAGGUUCAUCAACAUGUGGAACCUUUCCAGUGGCAGGAACGCCCUGGCACAGGUCGAGUCGAGGACCACUCCGAUGAACUCUAUCCUCUGCACUGGCACUAACGUUGACUUUUUGUCAUUUACCAGUAGGCUCAGAGAGCGGCAUGUGGUCUGAAGCACUGCAACAUCCCUUUGGACUUGAGACCUGGGGGAACUGCCCUUGAUAAGCCAGCCGUUGAGGUAUGGGUAGAUCUGAAUACCCUAGUGCCUGAGGGCAGUGAAGCAAUCAGGCAGGCUGAGACUACCUCUCCACCCAGGUGAGACUGCCUUCAAGCACACAGCCAUUGUCCAAGCCCAGGAAAAAAACAAUGAGGAACCAUCAACGCAAAAUGAGAACAGCCUGAAACUGA